Molecule: ribosomal RNA, 468 nt
Filed under: uncultured bacterium
Lineage: Bacteria
Description: partial 16S ribosomal RNA
Rfam family: Bacterial small subunit ribosomal RNA
Source: RNAcentral
GACGAACGCUGGCGGCGUGCUUAACACAUGCAAGUCGAACGGAAAGGCCCUGCUUUUGUGGGGUGCUCGAGUGGCGAACGGGUGAGUAACACGUGAGUAACCUGCCCUUGACUUUGGGAUAACUUCAGGAAACUGGGGCUAAUACUGGAUAGGAGCUCCUGCUGCAUGGUGGGGGUUGGAAAGUUUCGGCGGUUGGGGAUGGACUCGCGGCUUAUCAGCUUGUUGGUGGGGUAGUGGCUUACCAAGGCUUUGACGGGUAGCCGGCCUGAGAGGGUGACCGGCCACAUUGGGACUAAGGGACGGCGCAGACUCCUACGGUAGGCAGCAGGGGGGAGUAUUGCACAAUGAGCGGAAGCCUGAGGCAGCAGCGCCGCGUGCGGGAUGACGGCCUUCGGGUUGUGAACCGCUUUCGCCGGAGACGAAGCGGGAGUGACGGUAAUUGGUAAAGAAGCACCGGCUAACUACGUG